CUGCGUUUAAUUUAGCCUUUGAAGCCUCUGAGGCAGAACCAGUGUGUUGGACUAAUAGGAGUCAUUACUCGCUUUGGUUAUGACAGGCAAAAAUUCUGAUGCUCCGAUACAAAUCUGUAGUUUUAAAGGAAGAUCAAAGACACACACCGAUUUCCCAGACACACACACACACACACACACACACCCUACAAUCCUUUUGAUGCUCCGAGCCAAAGAGGCCCCACAUAGGAAAAACAUUAGAAGGGGCCUAAACAGGCAGUGAUGCAAUCUGCUCGACACAUCGUUCAAUAGGUGCGAUAGGAGAAGCUCAGCGAGUGCCGGCCUCUGCUCCGGCUCGGCGCCGGCGCCGCGUCCCGCUCUGCCAGCGCUGCCGAUGAGGGUGCAGUGAACAUUAAAGCACUGCUUUGAACAAAAAGAUUGGAUAUGAAAAGGAAUGCGAUAUUAGGCCCCACGACGCGACGAGGGAGAGGCGGCGCUCCCUCCUGAAGCUGUCGCGUAAUUAGAUAAAGGUAGAGGUUCUGCGUCUCCUGAGAACUGGCUGCGACCCGCGGGUCAGCCCACAGACACAUCAGCAACGGGGCACCUGAACGCCAAAGUGACAUCACCUCGCAACAAUAAGGGACGGGAAGUUCUGCACCAGGAUCAUUUCACCAUAAAAAGGCAAAAAGGGGUUUCAGGACAUUGAGUCUGAAACUGACUGCAGCCGUUUGCUGCUCGCUGGAGUCGUGAGUGCUGUUCAGCAGCGGCGUUAAGCCGUCCGUGCCUUGGAUUUGUUUUUGAAUUAACCACCGAUAGCAAUAAAAUAAAAUGGGAAUUUAUCCAUCAAAGCAGCGUGGAGAGGAAUAUUUGGUUAAAAUUUCCUUAACAUGUUUAAUCUCUCGCAUCUCGCCUGAAAGCCAUUGAUGUGAUGCUCAAUGAAACACGUUUCUAGCAGAAACUCAAACCAUAAAUGUUCUCUGCCUGCAGUUAGACGCCCUGUGCAGUUCAAUCAAUCCCGGAGCCUGACGCCGCUGAAUGAGCAUAGGCUCCGUGUCGGUGUUGUUCAGCCACGUCAUCCUUCCACGCAUGGAAAUGCCACUUACAGCUACCAGUUAAUUCAACACAGCGUGGAGAAUUAAGACGUCUUCACUGGGCCCUAAAUAACGAGAGCCAAACAGCACUUUGUGUAAUCGCUGGAGUGAUCUCAUUAAUCUCAUCACCCAGUUUUUAUGAUUUCCAGCCGACACUUGUCACAUUUAACAUUAAUCAGGAAAAUGAACCGUGUCUUCGUCUGUCUGUGUUCCAGGCGUGUGACCUGGUCAGCAGAUUACAGCAAAGUCCAUUCUGCUGCUAAUGAGAUGUGAG
This 1344-nucleotide long non-coding RNA is filed under the name Betta splendens (Siamese fighting fish). Its description in RNAcentral is "lncRNA (ENSBSLG00000011691.1)". The record is from RNAcentral. Lineage: Eukaryota; Metazoa; Chordata; Actinopteri; Anabantiformes; Osphronemidae.